AAUAAUCAGUGAACACUGAGAACCACUGGGCUAACAACUGCGGUUCUCAACCCUGCAUGAGAAUCACUUGGGGCACUUUGUUGUAAAACUACCAAUGCCUGGGUCCCCUCAAAGCAGUUAAAUAAGAUAUUUUUGAUGAGCUCUUGGAUCAUUCUAAUGUGUGAGAACCAGGGCAAGGAAGUGAAAAUCUCAUAUUCUUUGGGAGAGUGAUGUUAGAUGGGCUGAUGAUACCACCGAGGCAGGGGAGGCCAGGGGACACUGCCAAGGGCAGUGGGGGCUUUUGCUGUGAUUCAUAUUUCAGACUCCUGGAGGGGGUUCCCUCACAAACAGUCCCUGCCCAAGUCUGGCAAGCAGUCAUAGUAAGAUAAACUCUGCUGCACAACAAGGUCAGGCAGGGUGGUAAGGGGGAGGGGUGGCAGUGCACAGUUGCAGGGUUUCAACUUUCUGAGCUGUUCUACCCUGGGUGAUAUGAACAAGACCCAGAAGUUCCCACACACACUCAAGAUGAGACUCAGGAACUCAAUGAACUGACAGCAGAAGCACUGUCAUGGUGCCCAUUGUUCAAGAGCCAAGAUGCUACCUUGUCAGAAACAGAAGGAAAGGCAAAAUCUGAGAGACAACCCACUUCACCCACAGAGAAUAUUCUCAUUUUUGCCCUGGACUAAAGUCACAAGAUUAAGCUAAAUUUUCCCAGCACUCCUAAGCAGGGAAAAGGAGAUACAGAAAAUUUCUGGGUAAGUCAAAUUGUUCUGGAAAAAGUAAGAAUUCUACCAAAAAGAAGACUGGAUGAACACCUGAGAUUAUACACUACAAGCAGAAGGAAAAAUGGCCCACUAUUGUGUGGCAAAGCAAUGGAUUGGCCAAGAAUCCCAAGAGGAGAGCUGUUUACCAGACUGGAUCCCCACCUCUGGAAGAUGAAGCCUCUGGAUAAUUCCAGCACUUGUAUUUCAUUGGGUUAUUCCAUGAGUAUUUAGCUUAACUCUGUGUCGGGCCCUAUUUAAGGACCUGGGGAUAUAGCAAUGAACAAAACAGACAAAAAUGCCUGACCUGACACAUGUUACAGUUUCAGGGAUAAUGAGACAGACAAUAGACCAAAUAAAUAAGUAGAAAUAUGUGAUUUUUUUGUAUAGUGUUAAGAGCUAUAGAUAAAAAAUUAUAUGGAAAAAGGAGACGGGGAAUGUCCAUGGUGGGGUUAUUGUUUUAAAUAGGAUGAUUCAAGAAAGCGUAACAGAGAGGGUGACUUUUUAGCAACAGUCUUGAGGAGAUGAGGAGGCAAGCCAUGUUGCUAUCAAGGAGAAGCACUCCUGGCAAAAGGCAGGCAGAUGCAAAAGCCCUAAGGUGAGGAGGUGCCUGGAAUGUUCGAGGGACAGUGUGGGUUAACGGGGAGGAGCAGGAGAUGAGUCAAUAAGUGGAUGCGCACAAGUGCCAGAAGGAAACCACUCUGCUUCAGUCCAAGCCGAUUCACCUGCAUUUUCAGCUUUCCCAGACAGCUUAUCACACAGGAAGUCACCAAACCCACCACUACCGGCACUAAAAGAAGGCACCUAUAAAGGACUUUCAGCUUUUUCUUAAGAUCCUCAUUUACUGCGAAAGCUUUCUCGUUAGUUGUGAGAAAAAUUACCCCAGAUUACUUCAAAACAUUAAAGUGCUGGAGAAAAACAAACCUGGCCAACUGGCACUUAAUACUGACAAAGUCCCCCAAUUUAUCAAUCAUGCUUUAAGGAAAUAGGGGUCAUAGCUGAAGAGCUCCAAGUAAUUACUAGUGAGGAUGCUGGACCAAGUGUUAAAUGGCCAAGAAAGCAAGAGAGUCACUGGGAAGAGAAGAAUGGUGGAUGUUUUUUGCUUAUCUUUCCUGCAUCUAUUACUCCUCCGCUGCCCUCCCCAGAGCUCUCAGUUUCUAUUUCCAAGUGCGAGUGUGCUCAGUUGUGUCCAGCUCUUUUUGUGACCCUAUCGGUUGUAGCCUGCCAAGUUCCUCUGUCCAGGGGAUUCUCCAGGCAAGAAUACUGGAGUGGGUUGCCA
Bos taurus (domestic cattle) is the source of this 2019-nucleotide long non-coding RNA. NCBI's taxonomy places the organism in Eukaryota, Metazoa, Chordata, Mammalia, Artiodactyla, Bovidae. The record is from Ensembl.